UCUCCGUAGGUGAACCUGCGGAGGGAUCAUUACAGAUUUCAUGCCUUACCGGGUAGUUCUCUUAUCCUCUGUUAUUAUUACUUUGUAGCUUUGGCGGUCCGUUAGGCUCCGGCCCGACUAUCGGCCCCGGCUGGUAAGCGCCCUCCAGAGGACCCAAAACCCUGAAUAUUAGUGUCGUCUGUGUACUAUAUAAUAGUUAAAACUUUCAACAACGGAUCUCUUGGUUCUG
RNAcentral lists this unclassified non-coding RNA (229 nucleotides) under plant metagenome. Its description in RNAcentral is "partial contains small subunit ribosomal RNA, internal transcribed spacer 1, and 5.8S ribosomal RNA". The record is from RNAcentral.